This is a long non-coding RNA of Motacilla alba alba, 3096 nucleotides long. RefSeq lists it as uncharacterized. NCBI's taxonomy places the organism in Eukaryota, Metazoa, Chordata, Aves, Passeriformes, Motacillidae. The transcript has 5 exons. The record is from RefSeq and is a predicted model, not a curated record.
AAGGAAACAGCUUGUGGGCUGAGAAAUCUACACAGAAAGGAAGUCAGGUUUCUUGCUCUCAGAACACAUACAGGCUUGUGCAAUUUUAUAAACAAUGUGCUUUUUUUUUAGCAGUUUGGAAUUUAAGACAAAUGCAUCCUGAAAACUGUUUCCUUCUUUCCUUUCACUCUCAAGGGUAGAUCUUCCUUCUAGUGCAGACAAUCAGAAAAUAUUAUGAACCUUCACGGAAACUUGGAAAUAUCUGAUGAUGCUCUCAUAUGAUGGCUCAGAUGCUCACUCUCAGUCCAAACAAAAUAUCUUCUGGGGGAAAAAAAGACCACUGCUCUGCUAGGUCAUGGAUGACAGUAUGUGUUUCAACAUCUUUUGGGAGAAGGAAGGCGAAGAGCUCUGAAGGUAGCUUGCUGCAUACGCAAUCAUAUAUGCAGCUCAUGACCCUGGCCAAGUAAAAAUUGAAGUGUCAGUGAAACAAAAAUUCUAUGUUUCAACACUGAUGAUGAGAAGCUCCUUUCUCCAGUUGAAAUAGAAUGGCCUGGAUGACUGGAUUCUACUCAUUCUGUAAUAUUACAUCUGAAUCUCUUCUGCAUCAUGAAGUGAAGGUCAUACCAAGUGUCCAUCUAGCCCAUUGACCCCUGCUAGCAAUGUCCAUGCAAGGAACUAUUGAGGAAAGCAAGAAAAGGGCAAAUACACCAAGUCUCUGCAACCUCCCAACUUCUAGGACAAACAUGCUGAGUACCUCCUGUGGACUUUGAGAGCUGUUCCUCUGGAAAUCAGGUCACUGAUGUGAUGCUGGAAGGAGAAAGCACAAGGAAAAAGAAGAGCUCUGAUUUUCAAACACAAAUGUUUAUAUGGUUUGGGGAAGAUAAUAAAAUGAAUAAAUAAACCUGUUUUAAAAUGUCUUGUUUGGAACUAUGACUGAGCUCCAUAUUUCAGACUGAGUUCACAACUGAAAAAUGCCUGUGUGCACAAAAGCACCAGCAGGCAUCUAUUUUGUUGCAUAAGCAGAAUGCUUGCUUCUCCCCUCCAGCCAACUUGCUAGUAAAUCACUAAAAGCUUUCUCAGUGCAAGUCCAGCACUGGCUGGAGAGGUUCUGGCUCUCCUACCUAUCUCAGGUGCCUGUCACUGCCUCAAGCCAGAGGUUCCUGUCCUCUCAGCAGAGUACAGAGCAGUUGUUUAAUGGAAGCAAGCACUAAGUUAUUCAGUCUGAGUAGAGCAGCUAAUAUAUUUUAAAAAGCAUGUCCUUCACUAAAAUGAACCAGGUAGUGCACAUGGGAUCUCCUCAGAUGUGGGAUCUGACCAGGGUGGAGUUCUUCACCAGAGGUAAUAGGCAAUAAUUGUCUCUCUUAGUUUUUUUUAAAGCCUCUUUUUAACCCAGAUUAUUUUUUCUCUGUGGCACCCAAAAUUAAAUCACAGUGGCACAGAGAGUAGUUGGUACAAAUCCUAACUACUAAAGAACAUGAAAAAGGAAUGUUUUCCAAAACUUAUGAUAGUCAGUUUAUAAAGCAAACCUAUAAUGUAGGUCCCAUAUAUAGUACAAUAUAAUUGUACUAUGGUGUAUAAUAUAUAGUGCAAUAGACUUGCAUUCCAACAAUGCAUUUUCUUAUUAAGGAUUAUAAAUGUUGCAAAUGCAUUGCAGACUUUUAUUCCCUCACCAUCUGCUAAGACAGUGUUAAAGGUGGAAUUUCCAAAGGUACUUAAGUUCCUGAAGUGAGAAUUUCUGAUUUGUAAGGAUAUUAUAAUUAUAGAUAAAUUGUUCUGUCUAACAGACUUCAAUUAAAAAUUUAAUAAACAAAUGUAAACCAACCUAUAUUUUUGGGACCUAUAAUAUUUUUUAGCUUUUUUAUAUUCAGAAGGCAUUAAUAAAACUGUGGUGGUUUUUUAAAUGUUCAAUGCAACUUAGUGUAGACAUAUUACUGCAAAAUAAUCCCAGUAAUUUCUGUUCUUUAUUAACUCUCAGAUACCACUCAGUGUCAAUGAGAAUCAAGUAUUCAGAUUUCUCCAACACCUCUAAAUUCUGCAGUAAAUAUUUAAAUUCUGUGACUACUUUUGUGCAUCAAGACCCCUUAAUUGGAAUUAGAACAAUUGCUAUCAAGAAAAAAAAUAUUGGGGGAAAAAAAAAAAAAAGAGACUGAGUAAAUGUGUUGGUUUGGGUCUCCCUGAAGGACAGAACAAGUCUAAUAAUUUCAUUGCCAAUAGAUGCCAUUAGGCAUCACACAUCCUUGUGAAUUGGUUUUUUAUUGAUUAAAAGAAAAAAACAACACACGCUCUCCCCUCCACCCCACAACAAACACACAAAAAAAACCCCAAAACAGGCAAAAGAGCUUUUUUAAUGCCAAUUGUUGGCAAAUAUGAAAUAUUUAGGAUUUGGAAUAAAAGCUCAAGUGGGUAAAACUGCUUCUGAGUGUCUGAUCUGCAUCCUAGUCCUGUCAGGUGAGUUUGAAACAAAUUCCAUUAAAUAAGGGAUAACUGGAAGAGUAACCCUUACAUUUCUAUCACCUACCAUAUAGCAUCUUCCGUAGCCAUUUUUUCCUAGGCUAAUAAAAACAGUGUGGAGAUGUCUUGUAGAAGUUGCUUGCAAAGAUCUUUAAACAACAUUAUGAGAACUAGGAAACAUGUUUGUGACAAAAGAGGAGUGAGAUAAGAUGAACACUGUCACACUGAAAAGCAAUUUAUAUUGCAAGAUUAAAUAAUCCAGCUGAAAUGUUCAAAAGCAACAAAUUUCAAAGCAGAAAUUUCAGUCAUUUCAAUCUGAACUGGAUAUACAACUUUAAAAAUACAGUCUUUGUGUAUUCAGGAAACUUAAAGGACUGUUGUUCAAACCUGCUCCAUUUAUUUUGUGCGAGAGCAUCCCCUCAGGAGGCUGGACAGAUCCCUGCCCAAAGGGCUCUCACAGUACACAGCUGUGCAGAGAUCAGAGAAGGGCAACAGCAACAGGGAUUUACCAGGCAUGAUAUCUUACAGAUGUGGAAGUCCAAACAAGAAGUCAAAUAAAAGUAAUUGGGGAAAAAUGAGUAUUGUUUAUGUUUGAAAAGACACCAAUAUCUUGAUCUUUAGGCAAUAAAUCAGCUCUUUAGCUACUGAUACAUUUUAAACCAUAAG